RNAcentral lists this long non-coding RNA (1305 nucleotides) under Anas platyrhynchos platyrhynchos (common mallard). RNAcentral describes it as "lncRNA (ENSAPLG00000026272.1)". Lineage: Eukaryota; Metazoa; Chordata; Aves; Anseriformes; Anatidae. The record is from RNAcentral.
GUGUUUGUUUUUUUUUCCUUUCAGUAAUCUGAAACAUUCAGUCUCUCUUAGUCAGUUAUGCCAGUUUCCCUUCUCAAAUGCCCUCACUUAGAGAGCUCUUAGUCUGAUAGUUGUGACUGUCAGUCUUAAACAGCUGUUCCUGCCACCUGUACAAUAAAUACCCGAGCAAGAUCAUAAGAAUACAGAUACACAGGACAAUGCAACAUACAAGCCAGGAAAGAAGAGUACAAAGCCCAUCCUUCCCUCUUUCUUAUCAGUGGAGCAGCAAUAUGCAAAGCAGCCGAAGUCCCUCCUAAAAUGAGCGUUGGACGCAGGGCCAAAACAACAAACAAGAGGGACCCUACCCCUGUCCUAAUGCGUGACAUUAUGAAAUGCCUGAGCAAAAGACGACAGUAGGGGAAGUAUUUCUCUCUCCUUUCCUGAGAAAAUGGAUGUUUGUGUUUCCUCUUUCCAUUUCUACAAAGGUUUUAUAACUAUUAUUUGCAUUUUUCACACUUUAAGAUUAAAUUUUUAUAAGAUUUUCUACUAUUGAUGAAGCUGAAGGCAGUAAAUGAGCUGUUAUGUUUUACAAAUGAGAAUUCUGUAAUUUGUGAAUAUACCAGCAAGCUUUCUUAAUUCAAGGUUAAAGUUUAAUAAGUUUAUCUAAUGGAUCAUUUUGUAGAUUACAACAUAAUACCCUAAGGUUAAGAAGAUCUGAGGCAUAAUAAGUACAAGCUGAUGAAAAAACAGUGUUUUUCUGAAGCCUGGACCUGUGAAUCCUCUAACCAGGCUGCUAAGCUCAUCUUUUAUUAUUCUCUCUUCAGGUUGUGAAAGUGGAUAUAUUUAUGGGCUGCAGUUACUCCAAUUAUGUUGUAACUAUUAAUACAUAGGAGAGGCACAUUAAGCUCCAAAUGUACACAGAUACAAAUAGUGGGGAAAUGUAGAUAUAAAAAUACAUUUUCGUGGUCUAGGCUUCUAAACAGCACUAGCCAGGAGAUUUCAUACCCUGUUUUCUGUAAACAUAGCAGCUAGAUCAGCUUCCCACAUGGCACAAUUUUGCAAGCAGUGGAAGAACGAUUCCAGAAGUUGAAAGGCAAUAUCCACCAGACUACAGUACCGUCUUCAUAAACCAGCGAAACUCAUUGAUUUCUUAACCACUGAAACACACAUUGGGGUGCCAUUAUAAUGGAUCUUGAGACAUUAUAGACAGAGAAAGGAUAGGGGAAUCAAAAGCAGAGGCUUAAGAACUCAAGAAGAUCUUGAAUCUCCUCUGGGAAACAUUUUAAAGAAAAUAAAACAUUUUUGUGUUUUAAUGUUAUUGCCUGG